Molecule: RNA transcript, 2236 nt
Organism: Diorhabda sublineata
Lineage: Eukaryota; Metazoa; Arthropoda; Insecta; Coleoptera; Chrysomelidae
Exons: 10
Source: RefSeq, a predicted model, not a curated record
GAGUCCAAAGCAAAAAAUACAAAAAUGAAACUGAAAAAUUAAAUGUUUUUAUUCGUCUCCUAUCAAAUAAACAUACAGAGCUCUGUAUCUCAGUCAAUGAUAUGCUUAUAGUGGUAUCACUCUGUUUAUUCGUUCGAAUUAAAAAAAUUCUGAACGCAUUAUAAUUAUUUCUCUAGUUAUUAAAAUCGAAUAUUCGAUACUCUUCUAUGUCUAUCGUUCAUUAAUAAAACAAUAUUAGAGACGUUGGUGAAGAAGCUUGAUCGAAUGAAUAUCGCCAUUUCUAUUGGAAACUGGUUACAGGAAAGUUCUUAGUCCAAUACACAAACUGUUCCAUUAUGAGGGAUGACCCAGUUGGAUUGAUAAUGAAUAUAAUAACAUUAGGACAAAACCAAAAUCAUUUGUGGAUAAUGGAAUACAUUUAUUUAUUCGGUUUUUCCAUCAUUGAGAUUACUUUUAUAUUCCCUGGAUUACAUCUUCUAAAAAAUAACUCAAACAUUGAAAUGCUUACAGAAUACUUCACGUUGUUCUGCUUCUCACAGUGUGGAUGCGCUGGUCUCAUUAUUUCUGGUCACUUUCUGUCAAAAUCGGUAAAAAUUGCAUCAACUUUGAGUAUCAUUUCAAAAGUCCUAGAAACGCAAACUUCAAAUUUCGAGAUAAAGAUUUUAAAAAAGUCUCGCAACUAUAAUAUUAUAUCGAUAGUGAUAUCAAUAUUGAGCGUAUGCGUUCAUCUUUUAUGUCUACCUUUUCUCAUUGAUGAUGGAUUCGAAAAUUUCACAUUUUAUACUGUUAAGAGAUUUUAUGGCGACGGUCCUGAUAUUAUUUAUAUUUGGCUCAUCAUUCCAUUGUUAAUAGCUGCUGGAUUAGCAACCGUACAGCCACUAUUGUUUUUAAUUUAUUUCACAUUUCAUAUACAAUUCCAAUUGACGUGGCUCAAUGAGUAUGUUAAACAGAAUUUACACAAGAAAAUGAAUAUUGAUACGACAAAUGGAAGAUAUCAAGAAUUAAUCCACGAUUAUCUUUCAAAUGUUGUCAAAUAUCGGUGUUGUUUCAAAACAGCAUUCGAUAGUAUCAAGAUGUUUCAGAACUUCAGUAUGAUUAUACUGAGUGCAACAGGAUCAAUGACUGCAAUAAUGUGUACUUACAAUAUGAGAAACAACACGUAUCAAUCAAAAUCUAUAAAAAUAUAUUUGGUGACUGCAACUUUUCUUUCAAUUUCGGUAUUAUUGAACAUCUGUGGUCAAAGUAUCUCAGAUCAGUGAUCGAAGCAGUUUUCUUCGAUGAGUGCCUUUAAGAGCUCUGCCGCUUUUUGCUUUACCGCUUCCAACGACUCAAAUAGGAUACCUUCGAAACUAGACUCUAUCUUCGGAAAUGAAAAAGAGUCGCACAGUGCCAAAUCUGAUAGCGCGUUAUGGGUAGAUGCAAAAUCGGGUCGUUUUUUACCAACUCGUUCUCGCAGUAUUACCAAAACUGAAAAAUAGUAAAUCUGGUUGAGAGUCUGACCCUCUAGAACCCAUUCAGUCAUUACAAUACCGUUAAUGUCAAAAAAACGAUCAAUUGGUUCAUCUUGAAUUACCCCCGUUCAAGUUUUAUCCAUAAUUGGAAUAUCAUGGAAAUACUUGACACUUUAAGAUCGUUGUACACGCCAAGGAAACCAUUCGACAUAAAGAGACAUUCUGAAGAAAAUUAUCAUAAAUUAUAGAUGCCGAUACAUCUUAAGAAUGUUGCCAAGUAUCGGCAUGACCCACUUCAUAUAAUAUAGGCAGAUCUUAGAUCUUCCGAUUAUUUUCUAGUCAAUAAAACUACGCGACAUAUUAUACAAGAGUUCUUGGAGUGAUUGGAAUAUAAAAAACAAGAAAAUGUUACUGAUGAUAAUUACAAAUAUAAGGGAUCCAUGGGAGAUAUCAUUUCAUAAUUUGGUCUCUGUCAACCACCUAUUUUUAACACAGUUAGCCAAAUUGGUCUACAGUGUGGCCGCUGUCCUUUCUAAUUUGAAAUAACCGAGCAUCUCUUUUAAUAUCUGAGGUACACAGAAUAUUAGGAAUUCAUUGUUACAAUUUCGGAGCUCCUAGAAGAAGCUGAAAAAAUGUUUGGUUUGAAUAAUUAUGUAAUAGAUUAUAACAAUAUAUAAUGUUAAAACAAAAUUUAAUUCAGAUGGAACAGAGCUGAAUUAUCUUGGUUUACAUUCAAUUUUAUAUGUACAUAGUUUAUUGCUACCAAUAAAUAAUAUCUCUGACCA